AGAGUUUGAUCCUGGCUCAGGACGAACGCUGGCGGCGUGCCUAACACAUGCAAGUCGAGCGAGUGGAGUUCUUCGGAACAAAGCUAGCGGCGGACGGGUGAGUAACACGUGGGCAACCUGCCUCAUAGAGGGGAAUAGCCUUCCGAAAGGGAGAUUAAUACCGCAUAAGAUUGUAGCUUCGCAUGAAGUAGCAAUUAAAGGAGCAAUCCGCUAUGAGAUGGGCCCGCGGCGCAUUAGCUAGUUGGUGAGGUAACGGCUCACCAAGGCGACGAUGCGUAGCCGACCUGAGAGGGUGAUCGGCCACAUUGGGACUGAGACACGGCCCAGACUCCUACGGGAGGCAGCAGUGGGGAAUAUUGCACAAUGGGGGAAACCCUGAUGCAGCAACGCCGCGUGAGUGAUGACGGCCUUCGGGUUGUAAAGCUCUGUAUUCAGGGACGAUAAUGACGGUACCUGAGGAGGAAGCCACGGCUAACUACGUG
This 482-nucleotide ribosomal RNA is filed under the name uncultured Clostridium sp. Its description in RNAcentral is "bacterial SSU rRNA". It matches the Rfam family "Bacterial small subunit ribosomal RNA", at positions 8 to 507 of the family's 1533-position model. The record is from RNAcentral. Lineage: Bacteria; Bacillati; Bacillota; Clostridia; Eubacteriales; Clostridiaceae.